CUUGUCUACGAAAAUGAGAAGUACAUGCUACUUAUAGCCAAAUAUCCCGAAACCCUAAUACUCAAAACGACGAAGUAUUGGGACGGGUUAAGAACUGUACUCGACCCAUGUGGUCGAGUGAGAGGUCGAGUGAAUAGCUGGAGUCUUCUUUUCUUCCUUGUGCUCGAGUGUCUGGUUGAGUGCAGAAUGAAGAAGGCUCUGAAGCUUGUCAUUCGAGUAUGCAGUCGAGUGUUGUGAUGGCGAUACUCGACCUCUAGGUGGAGUGAUGAGGUCGAGUAGUGGUCUGGCAGUGAAGGUGAAGGCACUCGACCCCAUGGUCGAGUGAUGUGAUCGAGUGAUUGUUUGGUGAUGGAGAUGAGGGCACUCGACCUCGUGGUCGAGUGGUGAAGUGAAGUGGUGAUGUCCUCUACUUGACCUGGUGGUCGAGUGGUUUGUCAUGAUCAGGUCCGCUUCUUCCAGAUAGCUUGUCAACAGCUCCAAAUCACCUGAAAUCAACGCAAAUAUGCAACAUGCAUGCAAAACUAUCCUAAACAUGCAAAGUGAUGACAAAUGAUGUGAAAUGGUAUAAAACAGUGAUGAUAUGAUGCUAAAGUGAUGACAAAUGAUGACAAAUGGAUGCUCAAAACAUGCAAAAUACACACUUAUCAGCUACGUUUCAGUUCUUAUCAGCGUGAAUGUCCCCAACAUGGCUUCCAAGAGAGACAACUCAUCUACCUAUUCUACAAAGGAUUAGACAAGCCAUACCGGAGUCAACUCGAUGCAGCAAGCUAUUGUAACUUCAUGACAAGAACCACUAGUGAAGCAUUACUCCUCACCACCAAUGCUUUAACUUGUCUUUCGACGCAGGAAGUUGACAUAGAACAAAGAAUUUCAACUGAGAUAGCCACCGCGAGCAAAGAGACUCCUGUUUCAGCAAUAUCUGCUCCUAUCCAAGCCCCCCCUCCACCCUCAUCAGAGACAAUAAUGGAAUUUAUGCUUGCGCAGCUUCUUGCAGGCCUAACCAAGCUUGAUAGCAAAUAUGAUUCUCUCUCCACCGAUCUCAAUAGCAAGAUUGACAAUCUACGCUCUCAUAUCUCCAAUCUCUCACCUACAUCAGCUUCUAUCAAUGCAGUCGCACUACGCAGCGCAAAGCAGCUCAACCCAAUACUUCAGCGCGAACGAUCAGCUCAGCCUUCAUCUUUUCUUAUUGCAGAGAAAAACUCAGUGUCGAUCGAUACACCAUGGUAUCGAUCGACACCAAUUACUCUUGACGACUCUGUUUUUCCUUUGUCGAGUGGAAUCGACAAUUUCGCGGUGGAGGAGGAAACUAUUCCCGAUGGUGUCGAUCGACACCCAGCUCCUGUCGAUCGACACCGAGCUCGUUCAGACAGUGUGCAAAUUCCAGCUGAAACCAAGUCAGCAAAUCAACGAAUUUCCUUCUCCAAGAGUCCUAAAAAGUCAAGACAAGCCUUAGAUGAUGUCAGAUGCAAGGCUAUGAUUGAUAAUCUGAUUAUUGAGAUGCCUCUAGUUGAAGCUAUUCAUCUAUCUCCCACAAUCAGAAGGUAUGUUAAGACAAUGGUCACUAAGAAUUUGACGAAAGAAUGCAGUGUUACGAUGAUUUCAGAGCAGGGCAUCGACAUCAUUCAGGAACGAAUCCCAAAAAAGCUGCCUGAUCCUGGAACCUCUGUACUAAGUGUCACCAUCAAUCUUGAUUUCCUC
This 1698-nucleotide small RNA is filed under the name Arabidopsis thaliana (thale cress). Its description in RNAcentral is "ATSL033640". The record is from RNAcentral. Lineage: Eukaryota; Viridiplantae; Streptophyta; Magnoliopsida; Brassicales; Brassicaceae.